This 468-nucleotide ribosomal RNA is filed under the name uncultured bacterium. RNAcentral's name for it is "partial 16S ribosomal RNA". It matches the Rfam family "Bacterial small subunit ribosomal RNA", at positions 28 to 507 of the family's 1533-position model. The record is from RNAcentral.
GACGAACGCUGGCGGCGUGCUUAACACAUGCAAGUCGAACGGAAAGGCCCUGCUUUUGUGGGGUGCUCGAGUGGCGAACGGGUGAGUAACACGUGAGUAACCUGCCCUUGACUUUGGGAUAACUUCAGGAAACUGGGGCUAAUACCGGGUAGGAGCUCCUGCUGCAUGGUGGGGGUUGGAAAGUUUCGGCGGUUGGGGAUGGACUGGCGGCUUAUCAGCUUGUUGGUGGGGUAGUGGCUUACCAAGGCUUUGACGGGUAGCCGGCCUGAGAGGGUGACCGGCCACAUUGGGACUGAGAUACGGCCCAGACUCCUACGGGAGGCAGCAGUGGGGAAUAUUGCACAAUGGGCGGAAGCGUGAUGCAGCAACGCCGCGUGCGGGAUGACGGCCUUCGGGUUGUAAACCGCUUUCGCCUGUGACGAAGCGUGAGUGACGGUAAUGGGUAAAGAAGCACCGGCUAACUACGUG